CUUAACCUGGUAACCAGGCAACUGAGAGAUGCCUGAGAAGCUCCCUGCAUCAUCCAGAGCCAGGGGAUGUGUUUGGAAUGGAGGGGAAAGGGCUCAGGAGCUCUGCAGUUCGUGGGAUCUGCAGCCAAUCAUCAGGGGCUGUCAGGCUGGCUGUGCAUCCCCUGUGUCCCUGUGAAGCUUCAGUCUCAGUGAGGGUCAAAUUCAGACACAUGGAUCAUCCCUUCACUGCCCAGAGACCAAGGCAGCUUCCAUCAACUCCUGCUAAGGGAAGGACAGCCACAGAAAUACAGAGAACUACCCCACUCGUCAAGGAGGGGCCCCAGACACCACAGAUUCUGAAAGGGGCUUAAUGAUAAAGUUGAAUGAAAUUAAACUAUUUCCAUCAUAAUAACCUGUGAGUUCAUUUCCCCACAUUCCCACCUGAUCCAUUUUUUUUUUUCUGCUUGACUUUAAAGGGGCUGUGCAGCAGCAGAGAACAAAACCAGGACUGGAAAGGGGAAUCCAUCUCCCAGGGUCAGCAGAAGCUGUUGGGUCCUACUGCCAGCGUGGCUCAGCAAAGGUCACCCCAAAUGGGCAGAGCUGUGAGUUUUUGCAGGAGGCUAGGAAGCAAAAAGAGGCCAAGCUUGAGCUGAGCUGCUCAGGGGCUUUCAGAGAUGCCCCAGAAAGGGGAAGGAUGCUGAUGCCUGCGCUUGGUCAGGAGACAGAGAACAGCAAGGAAGCCAAUGCAGCUGUGACUGUCAUGUUGGCUUUGCUUCAUUUACAGCACCUGUUAACUGCACAAGGUUUGUGUGGGGAACAGCUGGUGAGGUCCCUCCCUCUGUCCUGCUUCUGCAUGAGCUGGCCUGCUUGUGUUCUCAGCAUGUCAGACCCAGGAGGUUCUUGUCCUUGUGUGUCCAGGCAGCAUUCUCAUUAUGGCUCUAGUUGUGUAACUUCCCAAUUUUAAAUUAAACUGUGAAACAAUUUUCCCAUUUCUUUUCAUCUCAGACCAUAAAGGAUGACAAAAUAAUGGAGAGGGGGAAAGCAUCUCUUCACCUUGGGUGUUCUCAGGACCCUUGUGUUCUUCAGCUUGUUAAUUUCUGAUCCCUCUGCUCCAAACCUUCAUCCUUCCUAUUGUCCAUAGGUGAAGAUUUUUACCCUUUACACUUUGGAAAUUACUUGAGUCAGAAUGGAAAAAGCUUCUGAAGUUUAAGAUAAAGAACUUCUGUCACUUCCUCAAACCCAAGGGAGAUCAUAUUUGUUAGGCUGUGGUAUGUUUGUGACUGCAGAGCGCACUUUCAGAAGAUGUUUACACAGAUUAUUUCAGAUAUAACUCCCUGGCUUUUUUGAUAUUUAUAUAAAGUUUGGUGAAGA
Molecule: long non-coding RNA, 1350 nt
Filed under: Cyanistes caeruleus (blue tit)
Lineage: Eukaryota; Metazoa; Chordata; Aves; Passeriformes; Paridae
Description: lncRNA (ENSCCEG00000024104.1)
Source: RNAcentral